Molecule: long non-coding RNA, 1261 nt
Filed under: Equus caballus (horse)
Lineage: Eukaryota; Metazoa; Chordata; Mammalia; Perissodactyla; Equidae
Description: lncRNA (ENSECAG00000057135.1)
Source: RNAcentral
UUUAAAACGACAGUACACAUUUAUUGUCUUACAGUGUAUAUAGAUCAUACAUGCAGAAAGAGCAUGGCUUGAUUGUUCGUGAGGUCAGAGUUAGAUGUUGGUGGGGGCUGCAAUCAUCUGAAGACUUGACCGAAGCUGGAGGAUCUGUUUCCAAGUUGGCUCACUCACGUGAGUGGCAAUUUGUCGCUGGCUGUUGGCACAUGGGCUUUUCCCAAGAGGCUUCUGGGUGUCUUCCUAGCAUGGUGGCUCAUGUCCACCAGACCAAGGGAUCCAAAAAGAAGCAAAGCGAAUGCUUCAGUAGCUUUAUGACCUAGCCUUGAUGUCACAAACCACUACCUCCACCAUAAUCUGUGGAUCACACAGGCCAGCCCUGACUCAGAGCGAGAGUAGACUAUGUAAGAAAGUGAAUAUCAUGGGCUGGCAGGAACGGAGAUGUGGUGUUGAGUCAGCUUCCACGAUGCGGAUAACACGCCACCUGAUGGCAUGGCAAAGCCCACGUCUCAGAUGACCACACGAAGCUGCUUACCAGCUUGGACUGCCUGCCAACUUGGACUUUGAAGUGAGAGAGAAAUAACAUCAUCCAGCAGCAAGUGGCAGACCUGACACAUCUCGCUUUCCGAUUUCUGCUCUGUGACCUCCCUCCAUACACUUUGACAAGGAAGAUGUCCUUACUAAAGGAGAAUGUUGUUUUUGCUCCCGAUGCUCUUGUGUAUUCUAAGAGCUCAGUAAACAUUUGAAAGUGGGAGUUCAUUCUGAGAAUUUUAUGUCCUUAUUUAGUGAAGAACCAAAACUAUGUGUCCUCCAAUGUUGAGCGCAAUCUAUCUCCAUUAUGAUGAAUGCUACAUUUUUUUGAAGUUGGGCUCUGCUUAUAUUCUGUUUUGGGGUUCUGACUCAUUUUCUUUGGAACAUAAGUCUAUUUGAGGGAUGUUAAGUUUACUGAUUGUUUUCAAAUGCAGUGUUCUCUGAGCACGUUUUCCUGUACCUUGUACAGAUGCUUACCAUCUUGCCGUCUUUAUAUAGCUUUGCUAUUCAUACUAAAAAUAGGAACACGUGCAGCUAAUAUUAAGCCAAUACUAUGGGUAUGGUCAUACUGGUUGGUAAUAAAAUAUUGAAAUAGUUCCAUAUUCCUUGGUAAACAGUGAAGACCCUAUGACCUCCGAGGUCUCCCAGCUGCUCUAGCAUCUAUGGUCCCUCCUUCAGCACCCCUGGAUAUUCCCAGUACCCAGACACCAGCAGGGAGCCUCCAGCUCUGUGACAUGAG